GAUGAACGCUGGCGGCGUGCCUAAUACAUGCAAGUCGAGCGAACAGACGAGGAGCUUGCUCCUCUGACGUUAGCGGCGGACGGGUGAGUAACACGUGGAUAACCUACCUAUAAGACUGGGAUAACUUCGGGAAACCGGAGCUAAUACCGGAUAAUAUAUUGAACCGCAUGGUUCAAUAGUGAAAGACGGUUUUGCUGUCACUUAUAGAUGGAUCCGCGCCGCAUUAGCUGGUUGGUAAGGUAACGGCUUACCAAGGCAACGAUGCGUAGCCGACCUGAGAGGGUGAUCGGCCACACUGGAACUGAGACACGGUCCAGACUCCUACGGGAGGCAGCAGUAGGGAAUCUUCCGCAAUGGGCGAAAGCCUGACGGAGCAACGCCGCGUGAGUGAUGAAGGUCUUCGGAUCGUAAAACUCUGUUAUUAGGGAAGAACAAAUGUGUAAGUAACUAUGCACGUCUUGACGGUAUCUAAUCAGAAAGCCACGGCUAACUACGUG
RNAcentral lists this ribosomal RNA (497 nucleotides) under uncultured bacterium. Its description in RNAcentral is "partial 16S ribosomal RNA". It matches the Rfam family "Bacterial small subunit ribosomal RNA", at positions 28 to 507 of the family's 1533-position model. The record is from RNAcentral.